This 383-nucleotide ribosomal RNA is filed under the name uncultured eukaryote. RNAcentral describes it as "partial 18S ribosomal RNA". It matches the Rfam family "Eukaryotic small subunit ribosomal RNA", at positions 592 to 977 of the family's 1831-position model. The record is from RNAcentral.
CAAUAGCGUAUAUUAAAGUUGUUGCAGUUAAAAAGCUCGUAGUUGGAUUUCUGGUUGAAGCGACCGGUCGGGCGUUGAUUCGUCUGCACUGGAGUCGGUUUUGGCCAUCCUCUAGGAAAGUGCGUCUGGUAUUAAGUUAUCGGGCGUAUGAUCCUGGUCUUUUACUGUGAAAAAAUUAGAGUGUUUAAAGCAGGCCUUCGCCUUGAAUACAUUAGCAUGGAAUAAUAAGAUAGGACUUUGGUCUAUUUUGUUGGUUUGCAGACCGAAGUAAUGAUUAAUAGGGAUAGUUGGGGGUAUUUAUAUUCCGAUGUCAGAGGUGAAAUUCUUAGAUUUUCGGAAGAUAAACUUAUGCGAAAGCAUUUACCAAGGAUGUUUUCAUUAAU